Molecule: long non-coding RNA, 748 nt
Organism: Salvelinus fontinalis (brook trout)
Lineage: Eukaryota; Metazoa; Chordata; Actinopteri; Salmoniformes; Salmonidae
Exons: 3
Source: RefSeq, a predicted model, not a curated record
CAACAUUGUUGUUGUAGAGGCGUUGGCCUGGGCAACAACCCCCUCAAGAUUCUAAUGAUGACAUCAUCUCCAUCAUCUAACAUCAAUGAUCAAACAUGUUUCACAGCUCAGGCCGAGGGGGCGGGGGAAGGAAAUCAGAGGAGCACUCCUCUUCACUUUGAUUGACACUUACUCCUACUGUGUGUCCAGUGUGCUGUCUUGACUGUGUGUCAGAGGACUACAAAAGCGGUGACACCCCCCAACAGCCCCAUUCUAUCCAAGCUUCCUGUUCCCUAUUAAGGCUUGUGUUUGAAGCGACACUUGUCACCAUAGAAACAGCCGGUGGUCCUCCAGAAGAAACACUCAUCACCAUUGAUGGGAGCCAUCCUCCUGGUCCUGGGAGAGAGAGAGACAAACAACAGAUGGAUGUCCUUACCCUGUGGAGGCGUACUUGGAGGCUGAGGAGGUGUUGAGGCCUAUAGGGUUGGUCCUCUGAGGAGAGGGAGGGGUUCUCUGCAUCUAGCUGUCUGGGUACCUGAUCACCAGCCUGGUGCUCUCCAGCUCCACCCCCUGGACCGGAGGACAAACAGCAGGCACAGUCCAAAUACAUGCAAUGGGACCAAUAGCAUAGUCCCACAAGUAAAAUGGAACCAAUAACAAAGCUUGUUUUUCCUUUGCUGCCAGAAAGGAGUUGAAUCGUUGUACUUUUCUCUCUGUGUUGAACGAUGGUGAUACUAUUUAAAGCUCUAAACUGAAGCUCUAAACUGAA